RNAcentral lists this ribosomal RNA (525 nucleotides) under uncultured Pseudomonadota bacterium. RNAcentral's name for it is "bacterial SSU rRNA". It matches the Rfam family "Bacterial small subunit ribosomal RNA", at positions 8 to 522 of the family's 1533-position model. The record is from RNAcentral. Lineage: Bacteria; Pseudomonadati; Pseudomonadota.
AGAGUUUGAUCAUGGCUCAGAUUGAACGCUGGCGGCAGGCCUAACACAUGCAAGUCGAGCGGCAGCGGAAAGUAGCUUGCUACUUUGCCGGCGAGCGGCGGACGGGUGAGUAAUGUCUGGGAAACUGCCUGAUGGAGGGGGAUAACUACUGGAAACGGUAGCUAAUACCGCAUGACCUCGAAAGAGCAAAGUGGGGGAUCUUCGGACCUCACGCCAUCGGAUGUGCCCAGAUGGGAUUAGCUAGUAGGUGAGGUAAUGGCUCACCUAGGCGACGAUCCCUAGCUGGUCUGAGAGGAUGACCAGCCACACUGGAACUGAGACACGGUCCAGACUCCUACGGGAGGCAGCAGUGGGGAAUAUUGCACAAUGGGCGCAAGCCUGAUGCAGCCAUGCCGCGUGUGUGAAGAAGGCCUUAGGGUUGUAAAGCACUUUCAGCGAGGAGGAAGGCAUCAUACUUAAUACGUGUGGUGAUUGACGUUACUCGCAGAAGAAGCACCGGCUAACUCCGUGCCAGCAGCCGCGGUA